RNAcentral lists this ribosomal RNA (631 nucleotides) under uncultured bacterium. RNAcentral describes it as "bacterial SSU rRNA". It matches the Rfam family "Bacterial small subunit ribosomal RNA", at positions 62 to 691 of the family's 1533-position model. The record is from RNAcentral.
UCGAACGGAGUACCCUCGAAAGAGAUUUCGGUCAAUGGAGAGGACUACUUAGUGGCGGACGGGUGAGUAACGCGUGAGGAACCUGCCUUUCAGAGGGGGACAACAGUUGGAAACGACUGCUAAUACCGCAUAACGUACGGGUAUCGCAUGGUACUGGUACCAAAGAUUUAUCGCUGAGAGAUGGCCUCGCGUCUGAUUAGCUAGUUGGUAGGGUAACGGCCUACCAAGGCGACGAUCAGUAGCCGGACUGAGAGGUUGGCCGGCCACAUUGGGACUGAGAUACGGCCCAGACUCCUACGGGAGGCAGCAGUGGGGAAUAUUGGGCAAUGGGCGCAAGCCUGACCCAGCAACGCCGCGUGAAGGAAGAAGGCUUUCGGGUUGUAAACUUCUUUUGACAGGGAAGAGCAGAAGACGGUACCUGUCGAAUAAGCCACGGCUAACUACGUGCCAGCAGCCGCGGUAAUACGUAGGUGGCAAGCGUUGUCCGGAUUUACUGGGUGUAAAGGGCGUGUAGCCGGGCUGACAAGUCAGAUGUGAAAUCCGGGGGCUCAACCCCCGAACUGCAUUUGAAACUGUUGGUCUUGAGUAUCGGAGAGGCAGGCGGAAUUCCUAGUGUAGCGGUGAAAUGCGU